CUUGAAUUUUAUAAGAGGUCCAGCCUGCCCAGUGACUCUGUUCAACGGCCGCGGUAUCCUAACCGUGCGAAGGUAGCGUAAUCACUUGUUCUUUAAAUGUGGACUAGUAUGAAUGGCACUACGAGGGUUAUACUGUCUCCUUUUUCUAAUCAGUGAAACUAAUUUUCCCGUGAAGAAGCGGGAAUAUAACUAUAAGACGAGAAGACCCUAUGGAGCUUUAAACAACCCAGCAAUUACUUCUAAAAUCAUAAAUUUCAGAAUAUUCAUUUUCUAAGUAACAUGUCUGCAAGUUUUUGGUUGGGGUGACCAUGGAGAAUAACAUAACCUCCAUAUUGAAUGAAUUCCCUUCUAAGCUAAAAAUUACCUAUUGAAGCAUCAAUACACUGACAUUUAUUGACCCA
RNAcentral lists this ribosomal RNA (401 nucleotides) under Rhinella aff. margaritifera AF-2012. Its description in RNAcentral is "partial 16S ribosomal RNA". It matches the Rfam family "Bacterial large subunit ribosomal RNA", at positions 1835 to 2422 of the family's 2925-position model. The record is from RNAcentral. Lineage: Eukaryota; Metazoa; Chordata; Amphibia; Anura; Bufonidae.